AUACGGAGGGGGCUAGCGUUGUUCGGAAUUACUGGGCGUAAAGCGCGCGUAGGCGGAUUGAUCAGUCAGAGGUGAAAUCCCGAGGCUUAACCUCGGAACUGCCUUUGAUACUGUCAAUCUUGAGUUCGAGAGAGGUGAGUGGAAUUCCUAGUGUAGAGGUGAAAUUCGUAGAUAUUAGGAAGAACACCAGUGGCGAAGGCGGCUCACUGGCUCGAUACUGACGCUGAGGUACGAAAGUGUGGGGAGCAAACAGGAUUAGAAACCCUAGUAGUCC
This 274-nucleotide ribosomal RNA is filed under the name uncultured bacterium. Its description in RNAcentral is "partial 16S ribosomal RNA". It matches the Rfam family "Bacterial small subunit ribosomal RNA", at positions 523 to 796 of the family's 1533-position model. The record is from RNAcentral.